Molecule: ribosomal RNA, 434 nt
Filed under: uncultured bacterium
Lineage: Bacteria
Description: partial 16S ribosomal RNA
Rfam family: Bacterial small subunit ribosomal RNA
Source: RNAcentral
AGAGAAAGCGGGGGGCAGGCCUAACACAUGCAAGUCGAACGAACCUUUCGGGGUUAGUGGCGGACGGGUGAGUAACACGUGGGAACGUGCCUUUAGGUUCGGAAUAACUCAGGGAAACUUGUGCUAAUACCGAAUGUGCCCUUCGGGGGAAAGAUUAAUCGCCUUUAGAGCGGCCCGCGUCUGAUUAGCUAGUUGGUUGAGGUAAUGGCUCACCAAGGCGACGAUCAGUAGCUGGUCUGAGAGGAUGAUCAGCCACAUUGGGACUGAGACACGGCCCAAACUCCUACGGGAGGCAGCAGUGGGGAAUCUUGCGCAAUGGGCGAAAGCCUGACGCAGCCAUGCCGCGUGAAUGAUGAAGGUCUUAGGAUUGUAAAAUUCUUUCACCGGGGACGAUAAUGACGGUACCCGGAGAAGAAGCCCCGGCUAACUUCGUG